GACGAACGCUGGCGGCGUGCUUAAUACAUGCAAGUCGAACGGAAAGGCCCUGCUUGUAGGGUGCUCGAGUGGCGAACGGGCGAGUAACACGCGGGUGAUCUGCCCCUCACUUUGGGAUAAGCCUGGGAAACUGGGCCUAAUACUGGCUAGGACCAUGCUGUAGGCGGUGUGGUGGAAAGAUUAGUUUCGGCAAGGGUUGAGCUCGGGGCCUAUCAGCUUGUCGGUGGGGUAAUGGUCUACCAAGGCGUCGGCGGGUGGCCGGCCAGAGAGGGAGGGCGGCCACGUUGAGACUGAGAUGCGGGCCAGACUCCGGCAAGAUGCAGCAGUGGGGGAAAUUGCGCAGUAGGCGCGAGCCUGAUGCAGCGACGCCGCGUGGAUCGUAACGGCCUUCUGGUUGGGAACACCAUACGUCCAUGACGAAGCGCAUAUGGUGACGGUAGUUGAAGAAAAAGCACCGGCUAACUACGUG
This 469-nucleotide ribosomal RNA is filed under the name uncultured bacterium. Its description in RNAcentral is "partial 16S ribosomal RNA". It matches the Rfam family "Bacterial small subunit ribosomal RNA", at positions 28 to 507 of the family's 1533-position model. The record is from RNAcentral.